Molecule: long non-coding RNA, 600 nt
Filed under: Lathyrus oleraceus (garden pea)
Lineage: Eukaryota; Viridiplantae; Streptophyta; Magnoliopsida; Fabales; Fabaceae
Description: Pisum sativum (pea) long non-coding RNA (PSAT_LNC006306)
Source: RNAcentral
UUCAUAUGUGUGACUGUGUUAUGUAUUCCAGAUACAUGCGGUUUGGUUAAAUAUAUAUAUAUUUCUAUUUUAUGUUAUAAUUUGAUUAUGUUUUCGGAUCGGAUCGUGUCAAUACGCCGUUUUCACAUAUACGUGUAUGAGGCGUGACAUUUGUGUUAUCCGAUCCAGUUGCGAUGAUCGCAAUUUUGCGCUAGCAACGCCGUUGUUUUUUUUAAUUCAUUUUUUUUUUUAUAUACAUAUAUUUAGAUCUGCACAUUUUUUUCAUAACUAACUACCCUGAUUUUUCCUAAACCCUGACAAUUUCGCCACAAACUCUAAAUUUCAAACCUAAAACUUUAACCGUGUUGUUUCCUCUAAACCAUAAACCUUUUCUUAAACCUUAACAAACCUUAUUAUUAUUUCCUAUUUUCGCUCAUAUUUAUGUUAUUCAUACACUGUAACUGCUUCGCCCUUGUAAUAUUUUAAGUUUUAACUUGUAAUAUUUUCAGUUUUACUUUUCGCCAUCUUUAUUAUGUAACUGCACCAAAGCGUUGUAAUAAUUAGGGUUUUAUUUUCUGCCAUUUAUUUUCUGCCAUUUUAUUUUUCUGCCAUUUAUUUUUC